GAGAGAGAGCUUGCUUUCCGAGCGAGUGGCGAACGGGUGAGUAACGCGUGAGGACCUGCCUCAAAGAGGGGGACAACAGUUGGAAACGACUGCUAAUACCGCAUAAGUCGGCAUCGAAAAAGGAGCAAUCCGCUUUGAGAUGGCCUCGCGUCCGAUUAGCUGGUUGGUGAGGUAAUGGCCCACCAAGGCGACGAUCGGUAGCCGGACUGAGAGGUUGAACGGCCACAUUGGGACUGAGACACGGCCCAGACUCCUACGGGAGGCAGCAGUGGGGAAUAUUGCACAAUGGGGGAAACCCUGAUGCAGCGACGCCGCGUGGAGGAAGAAGGUCUUCGGAUUGUAAACUCCUGUUGUUGAGGAAGAUAAUGACGGUACUCAACAAGGAAGUGACGGCUAACUACGUGCCAGCAGCCGCGGUAAAACGUAGGUCACAAGCGUUGUCCGGAAUUACUGGGUGUAAAGGGAGCGCAGGCGGGAAGGCAAGUUGGAAGUGAAAUCCAUGGGCUCAACCCAUGAACUGCUUUCAAAACUGUUUUUCUUGAGUAGUGCAGAGGUAGGCGGAAUUCCCGGUGUAGCGGUGGAAUGCGUAGAUAUCGGGAGGA
RNAcentral lists this ribosomal RNA (602 nucleotides) under uncultured bacterium. RNAcentral's name for it is "bacterial SSU rRNA". It matches the Rfam family "Bacterial small subunit ribosomal RNA", at positions 70 to 705 of the family's 1533-position model. The record is from RNAcentral.